This 254-nucleotide ribosomal RNA is filed under the name uncultured bacterium. Its description in RNAcentral is "partial 16S ribosomal RNA". It matches the Rfam family "Bacterial small subunit ribosomal RNA", at positions 524 to 776 of the family's 1533-position model. The record is from RNAcentral.
CACGUAGGGGGCGAGCGUUGUCCGGAUUUAUUGGGCGUAAAGAGCUCGUAGGCGGCUCAGUAAGUCGGGUGUGAAAUUUCAGGGCUCAACCCUGAAACGCCACCCGAUACUGCUGUGGCUAGAGUCCGGUAGGGGAGCGUGGAGUUCCUGGUGUAGCGGUGAAAUGCGCAGAUAUCAGGAGGAACACCAGCGGCGAAGGCGGCGCUCUGGGCCGGAACUGACGCUGAGGAGCGAAAGCAUGGGUAGCGAACAGG